UGUAAGUAUGUGUUGAAAGAGGAUAGAACCUCAAGAUAUAUAAGAUGGAGAGCCAGGAAGCCGUGCAGAAGAAGUUGACCUCUGACAGGGUACCCAACUCUAAAACACUACCAGCACAGAAUUUGUGUUUGACACCAAGGAGAUACAAUGCAUUUUAUGAUUUAUGCCUUCCUUAUGAUGCUGUGUGUGAAGUCUGGCAGCUUUGCACCCAUUAUAGACACCUGCUCAAAUAUAAGGUUGCAGGUUGACAGGAUAAGAGAAAUGUUGACCACAGAAAAUUUCACACCUACUUCAAGUGCAAGCAGUGGCAUCUCUACUGAAAAUGACUUUAGAGAGACAAAGUGUGCAGUUUUACAGAAACUUGGUGAUUACUAUGACUGUGAUGUGGCAUUCCAACAAGAUGGCCUUAAAAUCAAGAAUGAAAUUCAAGGCCUAAUUAAUAACUUACAGAUGCACAUGUGCUCAGAAGACGAAAAAACGUGCAAUAUAUCACAACCCUCGUGCCCCUUGGAAAUUCAACAACUCUCUUUGUGGGACAGAACUAGAGCUUUUGAGAAUCAGGUCAUUGGGGUGUGUUUUCAAAUAAUGGAACAUGUGUGUCCUCAAGUGUCUUAAAAAGCUAAAAAGUAUCCUGCCACUUUUAUAUUUAUAAACUUUAUAUUUUUAUUUAUCAUUUAAUCAUUUAAUUAAUUUAUCAUUAAUGUUUUUAUAUGUUUUUAUAUGAUAUGUUUUAUACAUUGUUUGUGCACCUGAACUCUGGUACAAAUUGAAAAUAUGUAUUUUUUUUUUUAUUGUGAUAAAUAUAAAUAUAUAGUUCAAUAAAAAAAAUUUUGAAAAAAAUAA
Ctenopharyngodon idella (grass carp) is the source of this 843-nucleotide long non-coding RNA. RefSeq lists it as uncharacterized. The transcript is spliced from 5 exons. The record is from RefSeq and is a predicted model, not a curated record. NCBI's taxonomy places the organism in Eukaryota, Metazoa, Chordata, Actinopteri, Cypriniformes, Xenocyprididae.